Molecule: long non-coding RNA, 279 nt
Filed under: Lepisosteus oculatus (spotted gar)
Lineage: Eukaryota; Metazoa; Chordata; Actinopteri; Semionotiformes; Lepisosteidae
Description: lncRNA (ENSLOCG00000022051.1)
Source: RNAcentral
GUCUCAGUGUGACACAGUGUCUCAUUGUGUCUCAGUGACCCAGCGUGUCAGUGUGUCUUAGUGUGACACAGUGUCUUAGUGUGUCUCAGUGUCUCAGUGUCUCAGUGUUACACAGUGUGUCAGAGUCUCAGUGUGUCUCAGUGUUACAGUGUGACAGUGUUUCACAGUCUCAGUGUGUCACAGUAUGUGGGUGUGUCUGUGUGUCUUAGUCUCUGUGCCUCAGUGUGUCAGUCAGUGUGUCACAGUCUCAGUGUGUAGCUUGUGUGUCAGAGCCUCUGU